Molecule: ribosomal RNA, 264 nt
Filed under: uncultured bacterium
Lineage: Bacteria
Description: partial 16S ribosomal RNA
Rfam family: Bacterial small subunit ribosomal RNA
Source: RNAcentral
GUCCUAGCCGUAAACGAUGCAUACUAGAAGUAGGAGGGCUCAACCCUUUCUGUUUCGGAGCUAACGCGUUAAGUAUGCCACCUGGGGAGUACGCUCGCAAGGGUGAAACUCAAAAGAAUUGACGGGGGCCCCGCACAAGCAGUGGAGCAUGUGGUUUAAUUCGAUGCAACGCGAAGAACCUUACCUGGGCUCGAAAUGUAGAGGACUAUGCAAGAGAUUGCAUAUCCCGAAAGGGUCUCUAUAUAGGUGCUGCAUGGCUGUCGU